Non-coding RNA from Pangasius djambal, 72 nucleotides. Lineage: Eukaryota; Metazoa; Chordata; Actinopteri; Siluriformes; Pangasiidae. The record is from the annotation of a GenBank genome assembly.
UCCCUGGUGGACUAGUGGCUAGCAUGUGGUGCUCUCAUUGCCGUAGUCCAGGUUUGAUUCUUGGUCAGGGAA